CAUUCGGUUCCUAAAGUGUAGCAAGCAAGAUCGAUAACUGAACUCAGAACGGAGGCGCCGCACAGUGGGGGAGAGAGAGAGACGGAGAGUCGCCGGAGUAGCAAAACCAGAGUGAGAAAAGACAACAAUGGCGGACAAGGCAGUGACUAUUAGAACUAGGAAGUUCAUGACCAAUAGGUUGCUUGCAAGGAAACAAUUCAUUAUUGAUGUCUUGCAUCCUGGAAGAGCUAAUGUUUCCAAGGCUGAGUUGAAAGAGAAGUUGUCAAGGAUGUAUGAAGUGAAAGAUCCAAAUGCCAUCUUUGUGUUCAAGUUCAGAACCCACUUUGGAGGAGGCAAAUCUACUGGCUUUGGUUUGAUCUAUGAUUCUGUUGAGAAUGCCAAGAAGUACGAGCCAAAGUACAGGCUGAUCAGGAACGGAUUGGACACUAAGGUGGAGAAGUCCAGGAAGCAAAUGAAGGAGAGGAAGAACAGAGCUAAGAAAGUCCGUGGUGUUAAGAAGACAAAGGCUGGAGAUGCCAAGAAGAAAUGAUCUGUUAGUAAUUGUAGACAAAGCAGGAGAAGCGUUUUGUUGCUCCAGUUACAUGCCAUAUCAUUUAUGCUUUUUAUUGGACCUUUUUGUAGACUCUUUUCAAUUUUGCUCAGGUUACUCCAGCAUAUUUUGCAUGUGAAAGUACUAUUAGAUCAUCAUCAAAAAUGAGUGAAGUGUUAGAAUAUUAUUCUCUCUUCAAAUAUUGCCAAAUUCAUUUCUGUCACUGUUACUUGCUUAUCAUA
RNAcentral lists this unclassified non-coding RNA (771 nucleotides) under Hevea brasiliensis (rubber tree). Lineage: Eukaryota; Viridiplantae; Streptophyta; Magnoliopsida; Malpighiales; Euphorbiaceae. The record is from RNAcentral.